This 501-nucleotide ribosomal RNA is filed under the name uncultured soil bacterium. Its description in RNAcentral is "bacterial SSU rRNA". It matches the Rfam family "Bacterial small subunit ribosomal RNA", at positions 26 to 517 of the family's 1533-position model. The record is from RNAcentral.
AGAUUGAACGCUGGCGGCAUGCCUUACACAUGCAAGUCGAACGGUAGAGUAGCAAUACUUGAGAGUGGCGAACGGGUGAGUAAUAUAUCGGAACGUGCCCAGUCGUGGGGGGAUAACGUAGAGAAAUUUACGCUAAUACCGCAUACGAUCUAAGGAUGAAAGCGGGGGACUCGCAAGAGCCUCGCGCGAUUGGAGCGGCUGAUACCAGAUUAGGUUGUUGGUGAGGUAAAAAGCUCACCAAGCCGACGAUCUGUAGCUGGUUUGAGAGAACGACCAGCCACACUGGGACUGAGACACGGCCCAGACUCCUACGGGAGGCAGCAGUGGGGAAUUUGGACAAUGGGCGAAAGCCUGAUCCAGCAAUGCCGCGUGCAGGAAGAAGGGCCCUUACGGGUUUGUAAACGUGCUUUUUGUAACGGAACGAAACGGUCUGCUUUAAUACUAGCGGACUAAUGACGGUACCGUAAGAAUAAGCACCGGCUAACUACGUGCCAGCAGCCG